Molecule: ribosomal RNA, 253 nt
Filed under: uncultured bacterium
Lineage: Bacteria
Description: partial 16S ribosomal RNA
Rfam family: Bacterial small subunit ribosomal RNA
Source: RNAcentral
UACGGAGGGUGCAAGCGUUAUCCGGAUUUACUGGGUUUAGAGGGUGCGUAGGUGGGUCUGUAAGUCAGUGGUGAAAUCUCCGGGCUUAACCCGGAAACUGCCAUUGAUACUAUAGGUCUUGAAUUAUCUGGAGGUAAGCGGAAUAUGUCAUGUAGCGGUGAAAUGCUUAGAUAUGACAUAGAACACCGAUUGCGAAGGCAGCUUACUGCGGAUACAUUGACGCUGAUGCACGAAAGCGUGGGGAUCAAACAGG